Non-coding RNA from Ahaetulla prasina, 779 nucleotides. NCBI's taxonomy places the organism in Eukaryota, Metazoa, Chordata, Lepidosauria, Squamata, Colubridae. The record is from the annotation of a RefSeq genome assembly.
CCAGAUGGAUAUUUCUUCCAACAGAGCAAAACCAAGAAGUGUAUUGGUGAUCGUCACACAGAGAUUGCUGGUGCUGAGGAAGACAAUCAAAAGGGAAUUAGAAGGAAAGGGAAAAGGUUGUGCAAGCAGAGGAAACAACAACGAACACAGAAUAGUCAUCAACCAUCAUAUUCUUCUGGACAGGCUGUGGAAUUGGAUAUUGGCAGGUCUGUUUCAGUGGUGGGUUGCCCCUGGUUUGGACCAGUUCUAUAGAACCGGUAGUAGAACUGGCGGGAGGCUCCACCCACUGACCCUGACGUCAUCAGGAAGCUUCUAUGCAUGCACAGCCCCAUUGCGAACCAAUAGCAAAGGGUGAACUAAAGAAUUCAUCUGUCCAUUGGAAUUGGCUCUACACUAUUGAUCAGGCCAGGAAAAGAAGCUGGUUGUCCCCCAUAAUGUGGAGGGCAGAGCAAAUACAAAAGUGUGUCCAAUCUGAGGUCCAGUUGGUGGAGUCUGGAGGGGCUGUGAGGAGACCUGGAGGGUCCCUCCGUCUCUCCUGCCAAGCCUUUGGAUUCACCUUCAGUAGCUUCUGGAUGCACUGGGUGAGACAGGCUCCUGGAAAAGGUCUGGAAUGGGUGGCAAGGAUACACUAUGUUGCUGCAGAUGUUCAGUACGCAGACAAAGUGAAGGGACGCUUCAACAUCUCCAGAGACAAUGCCAAAAGCCAGCUGUAUCUGCAAAUGAACAAUCUGAAAGUGGAGGACACAGCAGUCUAUUAUUGUGUAGGAGAGUCACAGUGA